CUAGGGGGCUCCAUGGGAUUAGCGGUGCCAGUAGGGGGCUUGAGCAACCCCCCCCACCCCCCCCCUAUCCAUGUUCUUGCACCAUUAAGCUGCACAAUACAAAAAUGACAGUGCAAAUCAAAUCUUUAAAUCUUAAAUUAAUAUCGAUAUUAGAACAAAAAACAAAAAUAACAAGUCAAUGCACCGCUGAAUUGUGCAUGAGCUCGCUGCUAUGAGGACGUCAUCAGUUAAUGUCAGGGACUGUUUCCUCCUAAUUGCAACAAUCCACACCAACACUGGCACCUAGCUAGAAAUAGUGUACUACGAUACUAAGGUCCGUCCAAUCCAACAACAACACAUGCAAAAAAAAAAGGCUUCAUGCCGCAUUUGAAAUCUUGAAAUUCUCGAAUUAAUCCU
This 396-nucleotide long non-coding RNA is filed under the name Sorghum bicolor (sorghum). RNAcentral describes it as "long non-coding RNA (SBIC_LNC011599)". The record is from RNAcentral. Lineage: Eukaryota; Viridiplantae; Streptophyta; Magnoliopsida; Poales; Poaceae.